Molecule: transfer RNA, 72 nt
Filed under: Caulobacteraceae bacterium
Lineage: Bacteria; Pseudomonadati; Pseudomonadota; Alphaproteobacteria; Caulobacterales; Caulobacteraceae
Description: tRNA-Thr
Rfam family: tRNA
About the family: Transfer RNA (tRNA) molecules are approximately 80 nucleotides in length. Their secondary structure includes four short double-helical elements and three loops (D, anti-codon, and T loops).
Source: RNAcentral
GCCCUUGUAGCUCAGUGGUAGAGCAACGCUUUUGUAAAGCGAAGGUCAUCGGUUCAAAUCCGUUCGAGGGCU